CAUGAAACCAAUCGGCUGUGAGAUGAGAAGGGAACCACCAGAGACCAAGGUUGAUUCUUCUGGGUCAAAGAGCAGAGGCUGUUUUAAAAGAAUCAAACACGCAGUUCCAAUGCAACGGUCCAGUCCGUUAUCAACGAACUGCAUAAUGGAGUUGGGAAGGAAGAAAAGAUAGCUCAGCUACCCCGCCUGGUGGCAGAGAAUUAGGACUCCCACACAGCGACCCGGAGCCUGACGGCCGCCCCCUCCCCCGGCCGCGCUCCGGCCCCGAGACCCACCAACCCCUUCGAGCCGGAGGAGGACCACCUGCCGCUGGCCCCUGGGGGCGGGGGAGACGUGUGGCGCAGCAGCAUGUCAGUCGGAUUAAAACCAAAAAAUGUAACAGGAUUUUAUUGAAAGCUAGAGUCGACUUUCUCUUUAUAUUUAUUUAAAUUAAUAUUGAUAUAAUAAUUAAAAAAUAUAUAUAUUUAUUUUUUUAUAUUAUUAUAUCAAUAUUAAUUUAAACAAAAAUAAAUAAAUACACAGAGAAAAGUCGACUCUCUAGCUUUCAAUUAAAUCCUGAUACAUUUGUUAGUUUUAAUCCGACUGUACAUUACUUUGAAAGGAUGAACCUCAGUUUCGUGAUUUAGACCUCACUUGACCUCACUCCCAGAGGUCCACGGUGCAAUGUCACCACUGGGAUGCUGACGGCGUUUCCCGCCGGAUUUAUUUUCCCUUGGCGGCCCUCAGUCAAAUUUUGGGUUCCUAAAUUGGCCCUCAGCUGUCAAAACUUUGAGAACCCCUGGUUCAAAGAGACAAUGUUUAGACUCGAAACGCAUACACAUAUGUCUGAUCAUUGGAUGUAUCUGUGAUGGCAAAUGUAUCAUAUAAUGCUUUUUAGGCAAAAAGCUCCUUCCAAUGCUUCAUAUGAUUUUCAAUUAGUGACUUCAACCUAGAAACAGUUGCAAUGCUAAUAACAGGUGCAAACACUAUUUGCACAAUCACUAUUAACUCAGUUAUAAAUUGGACACAUGCAUUGACUUCCAAACUCUCCAAAACAAAUGGCAAUAUCUUUAGACCAUAGAGA
Long non-coding RNA from Gadus macrocephalus (Pacific cod), 1063 nucleotides. RefSeq lists it as uncharacterized. The record is from RefSeq and is a predicted model, not a curated record. NCBI's taxonomy places the organism in Eukaryota, Metazoa, Chordata, Actinopteri, Gadiformes, Gadidae. The transcript is spliced from 3 exons.